CGGCAACAGCUCAAAUUUGAAAUCUGGCCCCUAGGGCCCGAGUUGUAAUUUGCAGAGGAUGCUUUGGGUACCGCACUGGUUUAAAUUUCUUGGAACAGAAUGUCAGAGAGGGUGAGAAUCCCGUCU
This 126-nucleotide ribosomal RNA is filed under the name Herpotrichiellaceae sp. RNAcentral describes it as "partial large subunit ribosomal RNA". It matches the Rfam family "Eukaryotic large subunit ribosomal RNA", at positions 99 to 226 of the family's 3401-position model. The record is from RNAcentral. Lineage: Eukaryota; Fungi; Ascomycota; Eurotiomycetes; Chaetothyriales; Herpotrichiellaceae.